AAUCCAUAGGUUAAUGAGGCGAACCGGGGGAACUGAAACAUCUAAGUACCCCGAGGAAAAGAAAUCAACCGAGAUUCCCCCAGUAGCGGCGAGCGAACGGGGAGGAGCCCAGAGCCUGAAUCAGCAUGUGUGUUAGUGGAAGCGUCUGGAAAGGCGCGCGAUACAGGGUGACAGCCCCGUACACAAAAGCGCAUGUGCUGUGAGCUCGAUGAGUAGGGCGGGACACGUGGUAUCCUGUCUGAAUAUGGGGGGACCAUCCUCCAAGGCUAAAUACUCCUGACUGACCGAUAGUGAACCAGUACCGUGAGGGAAAGGCGAAAAGAACCCCGGCGAGGGGAGUGAAAAAGAACCUGAAACCGUGUACGUACAAGCAGUGGGAGCCCCACCACCAAAGCAUUUGCUGUACCG
This 408-nucleotide ribosomal RNA is filed under the name Salmonella enterica subsp. enterica serovar Enteritidis. Its description in RNAcentral is "partial 23S ribosomal RNA". It matches the Rfam family "Bacterial large subunit ribosomal RNA", at positions 161 to 590 of the family's 2925-position model. The record is from RNAcentral. Lineage: Bacteria; Pseudomonadati; Pseudomonadota; Gammaproteobacteria; Enterobacterales; Enterobacteriaceae.